GACGAACGCUGGCGGCAGGCUUAACACAUGCAAGUCGAACGCCCCUUCGGGGAGUGGCAGACGGGUGAGUAACGCGUGGGAAUCUACCCAGUACUACGGAACAACAGUUAGAAAUGACUGCUAAUACCGUAUACGCCCUCCGGGGAAAGAUUUAUCGGUAUUGGAUGAGCCCGCGUUUGAUUAGCUAGUUGGUGAGGUAAUGGCUCACCAAGGCGACGAUCAAUAGCUGGUCUGAGAGGAUGAUCAGCCACACUGGGACUGAGACACGGCCCAGACUCCUACGGGAGGCAGCAGUGGGGAAUAUUGGACAAUGGGCGCAAGCCUGAUCCAGCCAUGCCGCGUGUGUGAUGAAGCCCUAGGGUUAAAGCACUUUCAACGGUGAGAUAAUGAGGUAACCGUAGAAGAAGCUCCGGCUAACUUCGUGCCAGCAGCCGCGGUAA
Molecule: ribosomal RNA, 440 nt
Filed under: uncultured bacterium
Lineage: Bacteria
Description: bacterial SSU rRNA
Rfam family: Bacterial small subunit ribosomal RNA
Source: RNAcentral